CUGGACGAAGGAGUUUACAGUCUUCAUACCACUCACGAAAUAAACAGCCAUCAUGUCUGACAAACCUGACGUAUCUGAAGUUGCAUCUUUCGAUAAGAGCAAGCUGAAGAAGACCGAGACCCAGGAAAAGAACCCUUUACCAACAAAAGAAACAAUUGAACAAGAGAAGCAGGCGUGAGGCGCCC
Molecule: long non-coding RNA, 185 nt
Organism: Lineus longissimus
Lineage: Eukaryota; Metazoa; Nemertea; Pilidiophora; Heteronemertea; Lineidae
Exons: 4
Source: RefSeq, a predicted model, not a curated record